GUCUGUCUAUAGGAUACCCUAUUGUUUAUACCUUGGCGGUCAUGAUAUUCAAUAUACAAAGUAGGUGUCAACAAUUUGUAUGAUCCUCAGAACUACAUGUACCUAGCAGUAGGUAGUUGUGUUUUUUUAGUAUAAAUUUUAUUUCAAAAUUGCUGACGGUAACCUAGCAAUGGCAAGGUCGUCUGGAAACUUGACAACAGUAUGACAUCCGCCUUUGCUCGCAAUGCCAAUUCUAUU
RNAcentral lists this long non-coding RNA (237 nucleotides) under Mytilus galloprovincialis (Mediterranean mussel). The record is from RNAcentral. Lineage: Eukaryota; Metazoa; Mollusca; Bivalvia; Mytilida; Mytilidae.